AUGGAGAACCACAUGCAUCCCGGUGCCGGUGGUGGUGGCUGGCGUGGCGGCGGCCAGCACGGGCGAGGGGGCGGGCGUGGCGGCGGCCAGCACGGGCGUGGGGGCGGGCGUGGCGACGCCCAGUGCGGGGGUCAUGGCCGCGGCAGGCAUCUCGUGGCCGCGCGGGCUGGCAAAUUCAAGCGGGCCGCCUUCUUGCCGUCGGAUCAUCUGAUUGUUGCUGCGGAAGCUGCUGUGACUAAUAUUCCUUACGAAGUACUGGAAAUGUUCCUCCCCGCGGCCAGCUCACACAUGAGGCGAACAUUUGUAAACUACAUCAGAUCUUUGACUCCAAUUCAGCAAAUGCAAGUACCUGGGGACACAAGGCUUUAUGAUCAGUCAUCAGUGGUUGCUCUCAACUCAACUGGUGCAUCUGUCGACUGGGUUGUGGAGCUACACAGGGCUGGGUUCUCACUGGAUGGUGUGAUGGGGGUAAAUGAUUUUGUUGUUGACCACAGAGGCCUUCUGAAAGGGAGCCAUGUCCUUAGGAAGAUGCUGAAGCCACUAGACGAUACCAGGAGGGACAGGGAUCUAGUCGCAUUAGCAGGUUCAAUUCAGGAUGGAAUUUAUCAUGGCAUAACUGAACUCCCCAGAGAUGUUGCUCAGUUAGUUCGGAGGCUGAAGCGAUUUAAAAGAGGUUAUCACCGACUGUACAGGAUGCAUGUUGCGACAAAAUCUGAAAUUGAGAAAUGUGCCAUGUUUGAGAGGUACUUUGUGCGGCUGGAGCAGAUCAGGCAGCGCUCACCUGGGACAUAUGCCAAAAUUAUAAAGAGGAUAGACUGUGGUCUAAAUUGGCUCAAAAGUUCGAUGCUGAAUUUGCAUGUUCACUCCGUGAUGCGGUUCAGGCCGGGGGGCAGUACAUUUGAGGCUAAGCUUCGUUCGUUUCUCAGUGUUGCAGCAGCUAAACGUGUUGAUGUGCCAGGGUUUCUUACAACAAGACGGAAUGGCCAGGCUCACCUUUCUAAAGACAACGCCAUGGACUUGGGGCAAGGAAAAGAGAUUGCUCUCAAAGCUGCCACAAGUGCAAUGAUCCAAGAAAACCCUUCCAUUGCAGUUAUGCUAGGUAAACGAGUUCAGAAUACGCCUGGAAGAGGAACAGCUAUAGACGCAAAAGAUGCUGCAUUCACUCCUGAGGUCGGCGGAUUAAUCGCGAAAGCAAUUUGUAACGCCUUGUCAAUUGGUUACAUUGCGGACAAGGUGGCAGCAAAAGCAGCAAAGGCUGCUGCAAAGAGAAUGGCGCUGUAUGUGCCUGUCCAAACAACGAACAAAGCAAUAAUAAAGCGGUCAAAGGCAAAUGCACAUAUAAUCGCCGCAAACGCUGCAAGAGCAGCUGCAGUGGCACAGGUUCUGAAGGAACAAAAGCCGCAUGGACCUUUGCAAACACGGCCAGUGCUGGAAAUGUUCACUCAAACACAAAUUGAACAUAUGUUUUAUGUGAUUGCUCCAGAUAUGCUCCAUUCACUACAACUUGCUUUGUUCCGUGAGGGAAUUCUCGAAGAUGGUCAUUGGCUUGAUGAGUCCAAGAUGAUCCUUCUACUGGAUCCGCCAUCAACCUAG
Molecule: ribosomal RNA, 1593 nt
Filed under: Triticum aestivum (bread wheat)
Lineage: Eukaryota; Viridiplantae; Streptophyta; Magnoliopsida; Poales; Poaceae
Description: partial small subunit ribosomal RNA
Source: RNAcentral